RNAcentral lists this long non-coding RNA (651 nucleotides) under Pan troglodytes (chimpanzee). Its description in RNAcentral is "long non-coding RNA NONPTRT014951". Lineage: Eukaryota; Metazoa; Chordata; Mammalia; Primates; Hominidae. The record is from RNAcentral.
GAGGGUCGUUGGGACUUUCCCUCUCAGAUACUUACUGGUUCAUUCAUUCGUUCAUUUUGCUUUAACUCACAGUGGCCCUCCCCAACCUAAGGUGCACUGCUGGGAUUGGUCUAUGUGCUGAUGAUGUUCUCCUUGUCUUCAGAGGAAAAACAAUGCCUGUGUUUUGAAGUUCCUUCUUGGGACGAAACCAGCUGAAGCUGGCGAAAUCCAAGAUGGCGCCUCUGACGAGCCUCUGGCUUUAUUAUCAUCCAGUUCUCAUGCUAAACAACACUCCCACCAGCGCCGUGACAAUUGACAGUCGCCAUGACAACGACUGGAAGAGACCAAGAAGGGACAGAAAAAAAGGGGUUCCUUGAUUCCGGGAAAAAUCUCCGUUCUUUCCCAAGAAAAGCAUGAAUAUUCCCCCCCGUGCUCUUAAUGCCCAGCCCCUUCAUUAAAGACACCCUACCUCUGUAACUUCCCAGCUCUCACCAGCUAAGUUGAUUUCAGAUCUUCCAAUUCCAGAGCCAUUGAAUAAAGCCUGCACUGCUUGACACACUCCCUUUCGGUUUCGUGCAUUGGCCUCACCACACAACAGGAAACAAUCCUUUUUGGGAUAACCGGGACUCCCGGUAACAUUUCCAUAUAUACAUAUCUUAAUGUAUGCAAGGG